Molecule: non-coding RNA, 107 nt
Organism: Gossypium raimondii (Peruvian cotton)
Lineage: Eukaryota; Viridiplantae; Streptophyta; Magnoliopsida; Malvales; Malvaceae
Source: Rfam
AGUCCAUAGUGAGGACACAUUCUCAACAAAUCUUGAAAUCUCUCCCAUGUAUCAUAAAGAGUUUCAAUGUUAAAUUAAACAAAAGAAGAUAUGUCAUUCCUUAACAU